AGUAAUGUGCCUGAAUAAAGGAUUAUCGUGAUAGGAUAAAUAAUGUAAUUUUAUUACCCUUACUA
Molecule: transfer RNA, 65 nt
Filed under: Salganea raggei
Lineage: Eukaryota; Metazoa; Arthropoda; Insecta; Blattodea; Blaberidae
Description: tRNA-Ile
Source: RNAcentral